Molecule: long non-coding RNA, 1468 nt
Filed under: Homo sapiens (human)
Lineage: Eukaryota; Metazoa; Chordata; Mammalia; Primates; Hominidae
Description: HSALNT0400084
Source: RNAcentral
GUGGUGGAAGGUUUGCAGUGUGCUGGCCUGUCCCGAUAUAGGCUGAGUCUUGAUCCACCAGAAGGCUUUCUGCACAUCAGCCAGUUUUCGUGGUGAAGAUUUGGGUCUCGGAAUUCUCCUGUAUGCUUAUGAUUCUUACCAUCAACUUGUUUCCUUGGUAACCCACUCCUGCUGUCUUGAUGAUGGCUUCCUGUGGUCAGGAGACUUCUGGCUGGAGGCUUGACCCCACUUUUCCUGAUGAAUGACCUUUAGAGGUGGCUCCAGCCCCAGGGCCUGACACGUGGCCUGGCUCAGAGUGAACUCUUGAGAAACGUUAGUACACUGAAAAACAAUGAAAAAAAAAAAAGAAUGAAGAAAGAAGAGUCAAGGCAGAUCAACCAGGAUCGACGCAUCUGUGUCCCUCAAGUUAAUGACAUUUGAUAAACAACUUCUUUGUCUGUUCCUUCCCUUUGUCUGUAGCCCAGGAGACACAGUGACAGAAGGACAAUGCCUGGGCCUGAGCUGGGGGCUGCAUUCCAUUGCUGCCUCUUCCUGGCACAACCUAUAAUUGUUCUAACCCAGCAGAACUUCCGUGUUUGCAUUUGUCUUAAUGGGAGUAAUAACAACAACUUCACAGUGCAAUAAAUAAAUAAUGGAUAUAAAGUGAGGUGCUUGUCACACGGCCAGAGAUAAGUAAAUUUUUGCUUCCUCUUGCACUUUGUCAAGGUUUAGUUUCUUGCUUGAAGGUAACAGAAUUCAACUUUAAGCAAACUUAAACAGCAGAGGGAAUUUAUAGGUAGAGUCCUAGGGUGUGUCAUAAAGUCCAGGGAGCCUCUGAAAGCCAGGUUCAGGAGGGACCAUGAGCUGCUCUGGAGCUGGAGCAGUAGGGACGCCUAGGCCUUCACUUAAGUGUGGUGGUGACUUGCAUUUGGUUUGACCAAGGAGAAUACUGACUGGUUCUUGAGUCGGGUGCACUCCCCCUCUUGGUCUGAUCAUGGUCAAAGGAGCAGGGUCUCUUAGAAUGAACAGGGAAUGAAAGCCAGAAGCACCUCUUUCAUGGGAGAAGUUGGUUAUGCUCAAAGAACAGGGGUAGGACAUAAACAGGUGGUCUGUUUUAGUUAUACUUUUCUGAGUCAGUUCUUCUACGAGAUUGUCCUGGAGUCACCCAGCUGGUGACAUUAGUUAUCUCCCUAGCAACGCUUUAUUCUUCACUUUGGGCACUUAAUGCCAUUGCUUGUAACUUGGUAUGUGUCUGUUCUUCUCCUCCCUAUGCCUCUGCAUCCCUCAAAUGUAUGUAUCUGUUCUUCUCCCCAUGCCUCUGCAUUCUUCAAAUGUAGGGGCCUUGUCUGAUUAUCUCCUUGUAUCUCCAUGAUAAGCAAAGUGACCAGCACAAAAUGUAGGGGCCUUGUCUGAUUAUCCCUUUGUAUCUCUAUAGUAAGCAAAGUGACCAGUACAUAAUGGGCUUGAUGACUGUGUGUGCUUGGCUGAG